This 91-nucleotide small nucleolar RNA is filed under the name Chloebia gouldiae (Gouldian finch). Its description in RNAcentral is "Erythrura gouldiae (Gouldian finch) Z6 small nucleolar RNA (ENSEGOG00005009741.1)". It matches the Rfam family "Z6 small nucleolar RNA". Rfam says of the family: Z6 belongs to the C/D class of snoRNA which contain the C (UGAUGA) and D (CUGA) box motifs. Most of the members of the box C/D family function in directing site-specific 2'-O-methylation of substrate RNAs. Lineage: Eukaryota; Metazoa; Chordata; Aves; Passeriformes; Passeridae. The record is from Rfam by way of RNAcentral.
AGCUGAUGUGAGAUUUCCCUUCCCCAGAGCGAUGGGCUGUGACUGGGGUUGCCCUGGCUGCAGAGGGGCUGCUGCCACUGGAGCAGCAGCA